Long non-coding RNA from Hemiscyllium ocellatum (epaulette shark), 1471 nucleotides. RefSeq lists it as uncharacterized. The transcript is spliced from 4 exons. The record is from RefSeq and is a predicted model, not a curated record. NCBI's taxonomy places the organism in Eukaryota, Metazoa, Chordata, Chondrichthyes, Orectolobiformes, Hemiscylliidae.
CUCCCUCCCAUCUCAUCACAGUGUGCUUUGAUAUGUUGGAAAUACUGAUCCCUAACUGGUGAGGCAUUUAUAAACAUUAGUCUGCCUCAUAACUAGUGAAUCGGCUACAAGGCAGAUCUGCCUCAAGGACAUCAGCUCUGAUGACAGCCGGGUAUUGUCCUACUGCCACUCUUUAUCGUUCAUGCGGGUGACUGGGAGAAGCUGCACACAGGCUGGCCACAAACCAAACAGCAUCCUCCGAAAUAAGGGCUGCUUCUUACUAAGAGACAUUACCCAGGCUGUCACUUGUGAGAAUUAACCGUUCACUUUGUUAUCGCUCUCUCCGCCAGCUACACCGUCCGCAUCCUGCUUGUUCCGGCACAACGUCACUUCCUGGUAACCCGUGUGUCACUUCCCAGCAACGUAACAUUACCAAAGAACACACCCGGAUGUGGUGAGGAGUUUAGUCUUGUGGUUGUACAACAUGGUGACAUUGCAGUCUGGCAAAGACAAAUGCAUCGAUUCUGCUUAUACCACCUGAAACUUGUGUGUUCUCUUUAUUGUUUUUAACUUCUUCCCUCUUGUCUCCAUUUUACAUUCUUACCCUUGACUGUGGAAAUUUGUCACGCUCUCUGUUUUUCUACAUCCCUCCUUGUCUGCCACUGAACUGUGGCAGCACCAUUACAGGAAGAAUAGUAUCAUCAUAAUGUGUGUAUAGGAGACCACUUCAGAAGCAACGGAUACAAUAAAUGAUGUUUGGAAGUGCAGGUAAAACUCUGAUGGAUGUGGAAGACUUCACUGAGGCCUUGGACAGAGGACUUGAACACCUGUUUCCAGAACAUUAGUCUGAGGGUUCUGGAUUACUAUUCCAGAAAUGUUACAACAGCACGACCACUUCCCAUUGAAUAGGAGUGGUCUGUCUUCACCUCUGCUGCAGCUACUGGAAUUACACCACACAGGAGUAACAGGAAAAGGACAACAAUUUCCUGUGACCACAAGAACAUAUCAGAUGCUAGGAUUUUUGCAGCAAAUACCUUACUUCUAAUAAUAUGACAAGGCAUAAAUGUAGUUGUGUCAUGGAAUACUCUGCAUUUCUGUGGCUGAGUGAAGCUCCAUCUAACAUUCAGAAAGCUCAACUCGAUCCAGGACAAAGCUGCUUCAUUAGCAUCCCAUCCAGAACAAACAUUUAAUCAAUCCGCAAGUUCAGAAUUGCAGCAAUAUUGACCUUCUAAAAGUUAAACUACACUAACUUGCCUGUGCUGUUCUAACAGUAUUUCCCCUGCCAGAGAGUGGUGAGAAUGUGGAAUCGUUGCCACAGGAAGUGGUUGAAGCAAAUAGUAUAAAUUUAGUGUAGAGUUUCGUGGUAGUGAUACAUAGAACGUAACCCUAAUAACUAGAAAACACAAGAGGCUGACAUGGAGUAUAUACGUGGACAUGGGCUGUUUGAGCUGAACUAUGUAUUGUAUAUUAAUGUAAUAUCACUCAAUGUCCA